UGAGUUUGAUCCUGGCUCAGAUUGAACGCUGGCGGCAGGCCUAACACAUGCAAGUCGAGCGGAUGAAGGGAGCUUGCUCCCUGAUUCAGCGGCGGACGGGUGAGUAAUGCCUAGGAAUCUGCCUGGUAGUGGGGGACAACGUUUCGAAAGGAACGCUAAUACCGCAUACGUCCUACGGGAGAAAGCAGGGGACCUUCGGGCCUUGCGCUAUCAGAUGAGCCUAGGUCGGAUUAGCUAGUUGGUGAGGUAAUGGCUCACCAAGGCGACGAUCCGUAACUGGUCUGAGAGGAUGAUCAGUCACACUGGAACUGAGACACGGUCCAGACUCCUACGGGAGGCAGCAGUGGGGAAUAUUGGACAAUGGGCGAAAGCCUGAUCCAGCCAUGCCGCGUGUGUGAAGAAGGUCUUCGGAUUGUAAAGCACUUUAAGUUGGGAGGAAGGGUUGUAGAUUAAUACUCUGCAAUUU
RNAcentral lists this ribosomal RNA (466 nucleotides) under Pseudomonas sp. M47copa1. Its description in RNAcentral is "bacterial SSU rRNA". It matches the Rfam family "Bacterial small subunit ribosomal RNA", at positions 1 to 470 of the family's 1533-position model. Lineage: Bacteria; Pseudomonadati; Pseudomonadota; Gammaproteobacteria; Pseudomonadales; Pseudomonadaceae. The record is from RNAcentral.